GACGGGGGGGGCAAGUGUUCUUCGGAAUGACUGGGCGUAAAGGGCACGCAGGCGGGCUUUUAAGUGAGGUGUGAAAUCCCCGGGCUUAACCUGGGAAUAGCAUUUCAGACUGGGAGUCUAGAGUACUUUAGGGAGGGGUAGAAUUCCACGUGUAGCGGUGAAAUGCGUAGAGAUGUGGAGGAAUACCGAAGGCGAAGGCAGCCCCUUGGGAAUGUACUGACGCUCAUGUGCGAAAGCGUGGGGAGCAAACAGG
Molecule: ribosomal RNA, 253 nt
Filed under: uncultured bacterium
Lineage: Bacteria
Description: partial 16S ribosomal RNA
Rfam family: Bacterial small subunit ribosomal RNA
Source: RNAcentral